CUUAACACAUGCAAGUCGAGGGGUAACAGGUCUUUCGGGACGCUGACGACCGGCGCACGGGUGAGUAACGCGUAUGCAAUCUGCCUUCAGCUGGAGGAUAGCCCGGAGAAAUCCGGAUUAAUACUCCAAAUGCUAUCGGACGGCAUCGUCUGAUAUCUAAAGCUCCGGCGGCUGAUGAUGAGCAUGCGUGACAUUAGUUAGUUGGUGAGGUAACGGCUCACCAAGACUACGAUGUCUAUGGGGUCUUAAAGGAUGAUCCCACACACUGGUACUGAGACACGGACCAGACUCCUACGGGAGGCAGCAGUGAGGAAUAUUGGUCAAUGGGCGAAAGCCUGAACCAGCCAUGCCGCGUGAAGGAUGACGGCCCUACGGGUUGUAAACUUCUUUUGUACGGAAAGAACAAAGGCUACGUGUAGCCUCUUGACGGUACCGUGCGAAUAAGCAUCGGCUAACUCCGUGCCAGCAGCCGCGGUAAUACGGAGGAUGCAAGCGUUAUCCGGAUUUAUUAGGUUUAAAGGGUGCGUAGGCGGAGUUUUAAGUCAGUGGUGAAAUCUUGUGGCUCAACCAUGAAACUGCCAUCGAUACUAUUGCUCUUGAAUGUAGUUGAGGUAGGCGGAAUGUGUAGUGUAGCGGUGAAAUGCUUAGAUAUUACACAGAACACCAAUUGCGAAGGCAGCUUACUAGACUAUGAUUGACGCUGAGGCACGAAAGCGUGGGGAGCGAACAGGAUUAGAUACCCUGGUGGUCCACGCUGUAAACGAUGAUCACUGGUUGUUGGCGAUACACUGUCAGCGACUGAGCGAAAGCAUUAAGUGAUCCACCUGGGGAGUACGUCGGCAACGAUGAAACUCAAAGGAAUUGACGGGGGCCCGCACAAGCGGAGGAACAUGUGGUUUAAUUCGAUGAUACGCGAGGAACCUUACCUGGGCUUAAGUGUAGCAUGACUGCUGUCGAAAGAUAGUUUCCCUUCGGGGCAAGUUACAAGGUGCUGCAUGGCUGUCGUCAGCUCGUGCCGUGAGGUGUCGGGUUAAGUCCCAUAACGAGCGCAACCCUUAUCGUUAGUUACCAGCGCGUAAAGGCGGGGACUCUAACGAGACUGCCACCGUAAGGUGUGAGGAAGGUGGGAUGACGUCAAGUCAGCACGGCCCUUACGUCCAGGGCUACACACGUGUUACAAUGGCCAGUACAAAGGGCAGCUACCAGGCGACUGGAUGCUAAUCUCCAAAACUGGUCUUAGUUCGGAUUGAAGUCUGCAACUCGACUUCAUGAAGUUGGAUUCGCUAGUAAUCGCGCAUCAGCCACGGCGCGGUGAUACGUUCCCGGGCCUUGUACACACCGCCCGUCAAGCCAUGGAAGCUGGGGGUACCUGAAGUCCGUAACC
This 1384-nucleotide ribosomal RNA is filed under the name uncultured organism. RNAcentral's name for it is "bacterial SSU rRNA". It matches the Rfam family "Bacterial small subunit ribosomal RNA". The record is from RNAcentral.